Long non-coding RNA from Manis pentadactyla (Chinese pangolin), 1002 nucleotides. RefSeq lists it as uncharacterized. Lineage: Eukaryota; Metazoa; Chordata; Mammalia; Pholidota; Manidae. The record is from RefSeq and is a predicted model, not a curated record. The transcript is spliced from 5 exons.
GCGCCUGGGACUCCAGACGGCGGCAGGUUCAAUUAGCUAAACAAAGAAAUCAUGGCGGAUUGUUUACAUUUGGCAGCACCGGGCUGCGCCGACAGCCCGCCCCAGCCGCCGCGGCCCCGAGGAGUCGGCCGAACCGCCCCCGCGCCCUGGCCGAAUUGUGAAACUGUUGCUUUGCUGAAAACAUCUGGCUGCCAGUCUAGAAUGUGACUCUUAAGAUUCUCAAUCAACUGUGGUGAUGCUAUUACUUUGGGGCUUACCAAUCUGGGCUUCUUCCAGAGCUGAAAACUGAUUACAAAUAUGAAACAGAUUUCACUACUGGACUUGAACUCCACAUUAGAAAACAACAAGAUCCUCAAAAUAAUUGAAAGGAUUCUCAACAAAGAGUAAAUGCAACAUGAGUGGCAGGAUGCCAAGAAGAAAACACAAUGAAAAAAGGAGCCCAAGGAUUUGAGAGGUUUGAAGCCUAAUGAUGGAGGAAUAUCACUCUGAGGAGAAAUGAAGACUCUUUCUCCUCCUGAUUCACCUGAAUGUGCAGCGCCCAGUGAAAGUGAUAAGAGAGGAUGGUGUUUGUGACGAAUCCACAUGCACUGACGUUGUCACCUUUCUAAAAUACAUGCCAUUGUAGGUGCUUUUCCAACUCUCUUCCCUGUAUGCACAGUGUGGUAUACUUUGGCAGGCCUUCCACUUCAUUUUUAACCCUCAAAUGCGGUGAAACAAAGCUGAGCAUAUGGUACAAAUGGAAUGAAUAGAAGUGAAUAAAUGCAAAGAGAAACAUUUAUUUAACCUCAGGAGGAUAGACAAAUAGGUCUUUCUUAAAUUGGUAUAUAAGUAUAGAAUAUUGGGUCAUUCUUUAUGUGAAUAUUUACUCAUUUUAGUGAAAUUUUCCAAUCUGGGGGACAUUCCUUUCCUUGCCAAUAAGACACAGAAUAAGGAAAAUUUAAAAUAUUUGCAGCUCUUCCUCUGCAAUUUUAUCCUAAUUUUGUCUCUCUCUCUCCUCUUGAU